GACAGAGGGUGCAAACGUUGUUCGGAAUUACUGGGCGUAAAGCGCGUGUAGGCGGCUCGGAAAGUCGGGUGUGAAAGCCCUGGGCUCAACCCAGGAAGUGCACUCGAAACUCCCGAGCUCGAGUCCCGGAGAGGAAGGCGGAAUUCUCGGUGUAGAGGUGAAAUUCGUAGAUAUCGAGAGGAACAUCGGUGGCGAAGGCGGCCUUCUGGACGGUGACUGACGCUGAGACGCGAAAGCGUGGGGAGCAAACAGG
This 253-nucleotide ribosomal RNA is filed under the name uncultured bacterium. RNAcentral describes it as "partial 16S ribosomal RNA". It matches the Rfam family "Bacterial small subunit ribosomal RNA", at positions 524 to 776 of the family's 1533-position model. The record is from RNAcentral.